GAGGGGGGCGAGGGGUAUUCAGUUGGUUGCAAUUUGCAACCUCACCGCUAGAUGCCACUAAAGCCUACACACUGCUUCUUUAAAUAUGCUAACACUUAGCA
This is a long non-coding RNA of Sander lucioperca (pikeperch), 101 nucleotides long. RefSeq lists it as uncharacterized. Lineage: Eukaryota; Metazoa; Chordata; Actinopteri; Perciformes; Percidae. The transcript has 3 exons. The record is from RefSeq and is a predicted model, not a curated record.